RNAcentral lists this ribosomal RNA (776 nucleotides) under uncultured bacterium. RNAcentral describes it as "bacterial SSU rRNA". It matches the Rfam family "Bacterial small subunit ribosomal RNA", at positions 8 to 810 of the family's 1533-position model. The record is from RNAcentral.
AGAGUUUGAUCAUGGCUCAGGAUGAACGCUGGCGGCGUGCCUAACACAUGCAAGUCGCACGGAGGGAGCAAUCCUUCAGUGGCGCACGGGUGAGGAACACGUAGCUGACCUGCCCCGAAGAGCGGGAUAACGGUUCGAAAGGACUGCUAAUACCGCAUAAGCUCACACUGACUAAAUAGGUGUGAGAAAAGGCGCAAGCCGUUUCGGGAGGGGGCUGCGACCCAUCAGGUAGUUGGUAAGGUAACGGCUUACCAAGCCGACGACGGGUAACGGGUCUGAGAGGAUGAUCCGUCACACUGGGACUGAGACACGGCCCAGACUCCUACGGGAGGCAGCAGUGAGGAAUAUUGCACAAUGGGCGCAAGCCUGAUGCAGCGACGCCGCGUGGGUGAUGAAGACUUUCGGGUCGUAAAACCCUUUUCUGCGUGACGAGCAAGGACGGUAGCGCAGGAAUAAGCCUCGGCUAACUACGUGCCAGCAGCCGCGGUAAAACGUAGGAGGCGAGCGUUAUCCGGAGUUACUGGGCGUAAAGCGCGUGUAGGUGUUGGAUACGUCUGCUGUGAAAUGUCCCGGCUUAACCGGGAGGGUGCGGCAGAUACGGUCUGACUCGAGGGCGACAGAGGAGCGUAGAAUUCCGGGUGUAGUGGUGAAAUGCGUAGAGAUCCGGAGGAAUACCAGUGGCGCAAGCGGCGCUCUGGGUCGCAACUGACACUGAGACGCGAAGGCAUGGGGAGCGAACGGGAUUAGAAACCCCGGUAGUCCAUGCAGUAAACGAU